This 1106-nucleotide long non-coding RNA is filed under the name Salmo salar (Atlantic salmon). RNAcentral's name for it is "lncRNA (ENSSSAG00000101557.1)". Lineage: Eukaryota; Metazoa; Chordata; Actinopteri; Salmoniformes; Salmonidae. The record is from RNAcentral.
AUACCAGCCCUGGUGCCAGCCCUGAUACCCGCCCUGAUACCCGCCCUGAUACCAGCCCUGAUACCAGCCCUGAUACCUGCCCCAGAUACCAGCCCUGAUACCUGCCCUGAUACCUGCCCUGAUACCAGCCCUGAUACCUGCCCUGAUACCCGCCCUGAUACCUGCCCUGAUACCAGGCACAGCCAACCACCGCACGGACAGGCUCCACUACACAGCCAACCACCCCACAGACAGGCUCCACUACACAGCCAGACACCCCACAGACAGGCUCCACUACACAGCCAACCACCCCACGGACAGGCUCCACUACACAGCCAACCACCCCACAGACAGGCUCCACUACACAGCCAACCACCGCACGGACAGGCUCCACUACACAGCCAACCACCCCACAGACAGGCUCCACUACACAGCCAGACACCCCACAGACAGGCUCCACUACACAGCCAACCACCCCACAGACAGGCUCCACUACACAGCCAGACACCCCACAGACAGGCUCCACUACACAGCCAGACACCCCACAGACAGGCUCCACUACACAGCCAACCACCCCACGGACAGGCUCCACUACACAGCCAACCACCCCACAGACAGGCUCCACUACACAGCCAACCACCCCACAGACAGGCUCCACUACACAGCCAACCACCCCACAGACAGGCUCCACUACACAGCCAACCACCGCACGGACAGGCUCCACUACACAGCCAACCACCCCACAGACAGGCUCCACUACACAGCCAACCACCCCACAGACAGGCUCCACUACACAGCCAACCACCCCACAGACAGGCUCCACUACACAGCCAACCACCCCACAGACAGGCUCCACUACACAGCCAACCACCCCACAGACAGGCUCCACUACACAGCCAGACACCUUGCUACUCAACCCAACAAAACGGACACGCUGUGAUUGCCUCCUGGGAUGACCUGUUUUGAAGAAUGUCCCGACCACCUGUUGCUCCUGAGACAAGAUGGCUCCCAGAAUCAGUUCCUUUUCCUUUUCUCCCGUGACAUAAUCCAGUUUGUUUUGCUACAUUACUGACUGACAUGUUGUUGCAGUGUCAUGUACACAUUUAAAGUGGCGGUUAAAUAAAAAA